ACACCGGCUUCCUUAGGCAAAACGAAUCGGACGGGAAAGUUGUCAAAAAGCUGCUCUUCCCAGGCUCCACCCCCUUGUUCCAGGAGUCUGACCUGGAGAAUCUCCUGCUUCCUUCUUCAUUAUGUGAAAGACAAACUCAGGAAAAUGUCCAGACACACGAGCGCUAACGUCUCUUUUCUCUUGAAGCAGUGUCACAUUGUGGGACGCAGACGAGGGGACGGACCUGGAGUCUCCGGGGGAGAAGUCACACACGUUGUACGAGGAGCUCUUCAACCAGGAAGGAAGUCCGAUCCACGGACACCAGAAACCUCCGUGAGGACUCGAGCCUGGAACCUUCUGGGUUUCCUCUUCCCAGCUCCUCAGGAGAUAACCACUGGAUGUUUGUGUGUGUGGUUUUGCGAUGUACAAACAUUUUCCCAUCAUUGUGUGAGAAUAAAGAAAAACAUUCCCUUUGUCUUC
Long non-coding RNA from Pleuronectes platessa (European plaice), 459 nucleotides. RefSeq lists it as uncharacterized. The record is from RefSeq and is a predicted model, not a curated record. The transcript has 2 exons. NCBI's taxonomy places the organism in Eukaryota, Metazoa, Chordata, Actinopteri, Pleuronectiformes, Pleuronectidae.